GGACCCGCACAAGCGGUGGAUGAUGUGGAUUAAUUCGAUGCAACGCGAAAAACCUUACCUACCCUUGACAUGCCAGGAACUUUCCAGAGAUGGAUUGGUGCCCGAAAGGGAGCCUGGACACAGGUGCUGCAUGGCUGUCGUCAGCUCGUGUCGUGAGAUGUUGGGUUAAGUCCCGCAACGAGCGCAACCCUUGUCAUUAAUUGCCAUCAUUCAGUUGGGCACUUUAAUGAGACUGCCGGUGACAAACCGGAGGAAGGUGGGGAUGACGUCAAGUCCUCAUGGCCCUUAUGGGUAGGGCUUCACACGUCAUACAAUGGUCGGUACAGAGGGUUGCCAAGCCGCGAGGUGGAGCCAAUCCCAGAAAGCCGAUCGUAGUCCGGAUCGCAGUCUGCAACUCGACUGCGUGAAGUCGGAAUCGCUAGUAAUCGCGGAUCAGCAUGUCGCGGUGAAUACGUUCCCGGGUCUU
RNAcentral lists this ribosomal RNA (466 nucleotides) under uncultured bacterium. RNAcentral's name for it is "bacterial SSU rRNA". It matches the Rfam family "Bacterial small subunit ribosomal RNA", at positions 917 to 1382 of the family's 1533-position model. The record is from RNAcentral.